AUUGAACGCUGGCGGCAGGCCUAACACAUGCAAGUCGAGCGGAUGAAGGGAGCUUGCUCCUGGAUUCAGCGGCGGACGGGUGAGUAAUGCCUAGGAAUCUGCCUGGUAGUGGGGGAUAACGUCCGGAAACGGGCGCUAAUACCGCAUACGUCCUGAGGGAGAAAGUGGGGGAUCUUCGGACCUCACGCUAUCAGAUGAGCCUAGGUCGGAUUAGCUAGUUGGUGGGGUAAAGGCCUACCAAGGCGACGAUCCGUAACUGGUCUGAGAGGAUGAUCAGUCACACUGGAACUGAGACACGGUCCAGACUCCUACGGGAGGCAGCAGUGGGGAAUAUUGGACAACGGGCGAAAGCCUGAUCCAGCCAUGCCGCGUGUGUGAAGAAGGUCUUCGGAUUGUAAAGCACUUUAAGUUGGGAGGAAGGGCAGUAAGUUAAUACCUUGCUGUUUUGACGAUACCAACAGAAUAAGCACCGGCUAACUUCGUG
This 484-nucleotide ribosomal RNA is filed under the name uncultured bacterium. RNAcentral's name for it is "partial 16S ribosomal RNA". It matches the Rfam family "Bacterial small subunit ribosomal RNA", at positions 30 to 507 of the family's 1533-position model. The record is from RNAcentral.